Molecule: non-coding RNA, 97 nt
Organism: Mycena capillaripes
Lineage: Eukaryota; Fungi; Basidiomycota; Agaricomycetes; Agaricales; Mycenaceae
Source: the annotation of a GenBank genome assembly
GUCCCCGUAGGUUACAUAGCUGGAAGACCACCCACAUAUUGUACGUAACUACCAGGGAUUUAAUCGGGAAACGGCGGUUCGAAUCCGCUCGGGGACG